Molecule: ribosomal RNA, 236 nt
Filed under: uncultured bacterium
Lineage: Bacteria
Description: partial 16S ribosomal RNA
Rfam family: Bacterial small subunit ribosomal RNA
Source: RNAcentral
CACGGGUGAGUAAUGUAUAGGUAAUAUGCCUCUUACUAAGGGAUAACAAAUGGAAACGUUUGCUAAUACCUUAUACUCCUUAUUAACAGAAGUUAAUAAGGGAAAGAUUUAUUGGUAAGAGAUUAGCCUGUAUUGUAUCAGUUAGUUGGUGGGGUAAUGGCUUACCAAGACUAUGACACAUAACUGGUUUGAGAGGAUGAUCAGUCACACUGGGACUGAGAUACGGCCCAGACUCC